Molecule: ribosomal RNA, 2989 nt
Filed under: Salmonella enterica
Lineage: Bacteria; Pseudomonadati; Pseudomonadota; Gammaproteobacteria; Enterobacterales; Enterobacteriaceae
Also listed under: 1 other name
Description: 23S ribosomal RNA
Rfam family: Bacterial large subunit ribosomal RNA
Source: RNAcentral
GGUUAAGCGACUAAGCGUACACGGUGGAUGCCCUGGCAGUCAGAGGCGAUGAAGGGCGUGCUAAUCUGCGAUAAGCGCCGGUAAGGUGAUAUGAACCGUUAUAACCGGCGAUACCCGAAUGGGGAAACCCAGUGUGACUCGUCACACUAUCAUUAACUGAAUCCAUAGGUUAAUGAGGCGAACCGGGGGAACUGAAACAUCUAAGUACCCCGAGGAAAAGAAAUCAACCGAGAUUCCCCCAGUAGCGGCGAGCGAACGGGGAGGAGCCCAGAGCCUGAAUCAGCAUGUGUGUUAGUGGAAGCGUCUGGAAAGGCGCGCGAUACAGGGUGACAGCCCCGUACACAAAAGCGCAUGUGCUGUGAGCUCGAUGAGUAGGGCGGGACACGUGGUAUCCUGUCUGAAUAUGGGGGGACCAUCCUCCAAGGCUAAAUACUCCUGACUGACCGAUAGUGAACCAGUACCGUGAGGGAAAGGCGAAAAGAACCCCGGCGAGGGGAGUGAAAAAGAACCUGAAACCGUGUACGUACAAGCAGUGGGAGCACAGGUUUACCUGUGUGACUGCGUACCUUUUGUAUAAUGGGUCAGCGACUUAUAUUCUGUAGCAAGGUUAACCGAAUAGGGGAGCCGGAGGGAAACCGAGUCUUAAUUGGGCGUUAAGUUGCAGGGUAUAGACCCGAAACCCGGUGAUCUAGCCAUGGGCAGGUUGAAGGUUGGGUAACACUAACUGGAGGACCGAACCGACUAAUGUUGAAAAAUUAGCGGAUGACCUGUGGCUGGGGGUGAAAGGCCAAUCAAACCGGGAGAUAGCUGGUUCUCCCCGAAAGCUAUUUAGGUAGCGCCUCGUGAAUUCAUCUCCGGGGGUAGAGCACUGUUUCGGCUAGGGGGCCAUCCCGGCUUACCAACCCGAUGCAAACUGCGAAUACCGGAGAAUGUUAUCACGGGAGACACACGGCGGGUGCUAACGUCCGUCGUGAAGAGGGAAACAACCCAGACCGCCAGCUAAGGUCCCAAAGUCAUGGUUAAGUGGGAAACGAUGUGGGAAGGCCCAGACAGCCAGGAUGUUGGCUUAGAAGCAGCCAUCAUUUAAAGAAAGCGUAAUAGCUCACUGGUCGAGUCGGCCUGCGCGGAAGAUGUAACGGGGCUAAACCAUGCACCGAAGCUGCGGCAGCGAACGUAUCACUUAAAGCGAUUCAGCGGGUUACGAUUGACGGAGCGAAGCGACGUCAAAGCGUAUACAAAGUCGAGUCGGUUUAAGGAUACGUUCGUUGGGUAGGGGAGCGUUCUGUAAGCCUGUGAAGGUGGCCUGUGAGGGUUGCUGGAGGUAUCAGAAGUGCGAAUGCUGACAUAAGUAACGAUAAAGCGGGUGAAAAGCCCGCUCGCCGGAAGACCAAGGGUUCCUGUCCAACGUUAAUCGGGGCAGGGUGAGUCGACCCCUAAGGCGAGGCCGAAAGGCGUAGUCGAUGGGAAACGGGUUAAUAUUCCCGUACUUGGUGUUACUGCGAAGGGGGGACGGAGAAGGCUAUGUUGGCCGGGCGACGGUUGUCCCGGUUUAAGCGUGUAGGUGUGUGUUCCAGGUAAAUCCGGUUCACUUUAACACUGAGGCGUGACGACGAGGCACUACGGUGCUGAAGCAACAAAUGCCCUGCUUCCAGGAAAAGCCUCUAAGCAUCAGGUAACAUCAAAUCGUACCCCAAACCGACACAGGUGGUCAGGUAGAGAAUACCAAGGCGCUUGAGAGAACUCGGGUGAAGGAACUAGGCAAAAUGGUGCCGUAACUUCGGGAGAAGGCACGCUGACACGUAGGUGAAGUGAUUUACUCAUGGAGCUGAAGUCAGUCGAAGAUACCAGCUGGCUGCAACUGUUUAUUAAAAACACAGCACUGUGCAAACACGAAAGUGGACGUAUACGGUGUGACGCCUGCCCGGUGCCGGAAGGUUAAUUGAUGGGGUCAGCGCAAGCGAAGCUCCUGAUCGAAGCCCCGGUAAACGGCGGCCGUAACUAUAACGGUCCUAAGGUAGCGAAAUUCCUUGUCGGGUAAGUUCCGACCUGCACGAAUGGCGUAAUGAUGGCCAGGCUGUCUCCACCCGAGACUCAGUGAAAUUGAACUCGCUGUGAAGAUGCAGUGUACCCGCGGCAAGACGGAAAGACCCCGUGAACCUUUACUAUAGCUUGACACUGAACAUUGAGCCUUGAUGUGUAGGAUAGGUGGGAGGCUUUGAAGUGUGGACGCCAGUCUGCAUGGAGCCGACCUUGAAAUACCACCCUUUAAUGUUUGAUGUUCUAACGUGGACCCGUAAUCCGGGUUGCGGACAGUGUCUGGUGGGUAGUUUGACUGGGGCGGUCUCCUCCUAAAGAGUAACGGAGGAGCACGAAGGUUGGCUAAUCCUGGUCGGACAUCAGGAGGUUAGUGCAAUGGCAUAAGCCAGCUUGACUGCGAGCGUGACGGCGCGAGCAGGUGCGAAAGCAGGUCAUAGUGAUCCGGUGGUUCUGAAUGGAAGGGCCAUCGCUCAACGGAUAAAAGGUACUCCGGGGAUAACAGGCUGAUACCGCCCAAGAGUUCAUAUCGACGGCGGUGUUUGGCACCUCGAUGUCGGCUCAUCACAUCCUGGGGCUGAAGUAGGUCCCAAGGGUAUGGCUGUUCGCCAUUUAAAGUGGUACGCGAGCUGGGUUUAGAACGUCGUGAGACAGUUCGGUCCCUAUCUGCCGUGGGCGCUGGAGAACUGAGGGGGGCUGCUCCUAGUACGAGAGGACCGGAGUGGACGCAUCACUGGUGUUCGGGUUGUCAUGCCAAUGGCACUGCCCGGUAGCUAAAUGCGGAAGAGAUAAGUGCUGAAAGCAUCUAAGCACGAAACUUGCCCCGAGAUGAGUUCUCCCUGAGACUUAGAGUCUCCUGAAGGAACGUUGAAGACGACGACGUUGAUAGGCCGGGUGUGUAAGCGCAGCGAUGCGUUGAGCUAACCGGUACUAAUGAACCGUGAGGCUUAACCUU